GAUGAAGAACGUAGCGAAAUGCGAUAAGUAGUGUGAAUUGCAGAAUUCAGUGAAUCAUCGAAUCUUUGAAUGCACAUUGCGCCCCUUGGUAUUCCAUGGGGCAUGCCUGUUCGAGCGUCAUUUGUACCUUCAAGCUUUGCUUGGUGUUGGGUGUUUGUCUCGCCUUUGCGUGUAGACUCGCCUUAAAAUAAUUGGCAGCCGGCGUAUUGAUUUCGGAGCGCAGUACAUCUCGCGCUUUGCACUCAUAACGACAGCGUCCAAAAGUACAUUUUACACUCUUGACCUCGGAUCAGGUAGGGAUACCCGCUGAACUUAAGCAUAUCAAUAAGCGGAGGA
Molecule: unclassified non-coding RNA, 336 nt
Filed under: soil metagenome
Description: partial contains 5.8S ribosomal RNA, internal transcribed spacer 2, and large subunit ribosomal RNA
Rfam family: 5.8S ribosomal RNA (bases 1-120)
Source: RNAcentral